Molecule: ribosomal RNA, 427 nt
Filed under: uncultured bacterium
Lineage: Bacteria
Description: bacterial SSU rRNA
Rfam family: Bacterial small subunit ribosomal RNA
Source: RNAcentral
UAGGGAAUAUUGGACAAUGGGGGCAACCCUGAUCCAGCCAUGCCGCGUGAGUGAAGAAGGCCCUCGGGUUGUAAAGCUCUUUUGUCCGGAAAGAAAAGCUUCGGGUUAAUACCCCGGGGUUCUGACGGUACCGGAAGAAUAAGCACCGGCUAACUUCGUGUCAGCAGCCGCGGUAAUACGAAGGGUGCAAGCGUUACUCGGAAUUACUGGGCGUAAAGCGUGCGUAGGUGGUUGUUUAAGUCUGAUGUGAAAGCCCUGGGCUCAACCUGGGAAUGGCAUUGGAAACUGGGCAGCUAGACUGCGGUAGAGGGUAGUGCAAUUCCCGGUGUAGCAGUGAAAUGCGUAGAGAUCGGGAGGAACAUCUGUGGCGAAGGCGACUGCCUGGACCAGCACUGACACUGAGGCACGAAAGCGUGGGGAGCAAACA